RNAcentral lists this ribosomal RNA (251 nucleotides) under uncultured prokaryote. RNAcentral describes it as "partial 16S rRNA". It matches the Rfam family "Bacterial small subunit ribosomal RNA", at positions 525 to 775 of the family's 1533-position model. The record is from RNAcentral.
ACGUAGGUGGCGAGCGUUGUCCGGAAUUACUGGGCGUAAAGGAUGCGUAGGCGGAUAUUUAAGUCAGAUGUGAAACCCCCAGGCUUAACUUGGGGACUGCAUUUGAAACUGGAUAUCUAGAGUGCAGGAGAGGUAAGUGGAAUUCCUAGUGUAGCGGUGAAAUGCGUAGAGAUUAGGAAGAACACCAGUGGCGAAGGCGGCUUACUGGACUGUAACUGACGCUGAGGCAUGAAAGCGUGGGUAGCAAACAG